GCUAAUACCGCAUAAUAUUAAUUAUUGCAUGAUAAUUGAUUGAAAGAUGCAAGCGCAUCACUAGUAGAUGGACCUGCGUUGUAUUAGCUAGUUGGUAAGGUAAGAGCUUACCAAGGCGACGAUACAUAGCCGACCUGAGAGGGUGAUCGGCCACACUGGGACUGAGACACGGCCCAGACUCCUACGGGAGGCAGCAGUAGGGAAUCUUCGGCAAUGGACGAAAGUCUGACCGAGCAACGCCGCGUGAGUGAAGAAGGUUUUCGGAUCGUAAAGCUCUGUUGUAAGUCAAGAACGUGUGUGAGAGUGGAAAGUUCACACAGUGACGGUAGCUUACCAGAAAGGGACGGCUAACUACGUGCCAGCAGCCGCGGUAAUACGUAGGUCCCGAGCGUUGUCCGGAUUUAUUGGGCGUAAAGGGAGCGCAGGCGGUCAGGAAAGUCUGGAGUAAAAGGCUAUGGCUCAACCAUAGUGUGCUCUGGAAACUGUCUGACUUGAGUGCAGAAGGGGAGAGUGGAAUUCCAUGUGUAGCGGUGAAAUGCGUAGAUAUAUGGAGGAACACCAGUGGCGAAAGCGGCUCUCUGGUCUGUCACUGACGCUGAGGCUCGAAAGCGUGGGUAGCGAACAGGAUUAGAUACCCUGGUAGUCCACGCCGUAAACGAUGAGUGCUAGGUGUUAGGCCCUUUCCGGGGCUUAGUGCCGGAGCUAACGCAAUAAGCACUCCGCCUGGGGAGUACGACCGCAAGGUUGAAACUCAAAGGAAUUGACGGGGGCCCGCACAAGCGGUGGAGCAUGUGGUUUAAUUCGAAGCAACGCGAAGAACCUUACCAGGUCUUGACAUCCCGAUGCUAUUCUUAGAGAUAGGAAGUUACUUCGGUACAUCGGAGACAGGUGGUGCAUGGUUGUCGUCAGCUCGUGUCGUGAGAUGUUGGGUUAAGUCCCGCAACGAGCGCAACCCUUAUUGUUAGUUGCCAUCAUUAAGUUGGGCACUCUAGCGAGACUGCCGGUAAUAAACCGGAGGAAGGUGGGGAUGACGUCAAAUCAUCAUGCCCCUUAUGACCUGGGCUACACACGUGCUACAAUGGUCGGUACAACGAGUUGCGAGCCGGUGACGGCAAGCUAAUCUCUGAAAGCCGAUCUCAGUUCGGAUUGGAGGCUGCAACUCGCCUCCAUGAAGUCGGAAUCGCUAGUAAUCGCGGAUCAGCACGCCGCGGUGAAUACGUUCC
This 1223-nucleotide ribosomal RNA is filed under the name Streptococcus mutans. Its description in RNAcentral is "bacterial SSU rRNA". It matches the Rfam family "Bacterial small subunit ribosomal RNA", at positions 162 to 1374 of the family's 1533-position model. The record is from RNAcentral. Lineage: Bacteria; Bacillati; Bacillota; Bacilli; Lactobacillales; Streptococcaceae.